This 253-nucleotide ribosomal RNA is filed under the name uncultured bacterium. RNAcentral's name for it is "partial 16S ribosomal RNA". It matches the Rfam family "Bacterial small subunit ribosomal RNA", at positions 524 to 776 of the family's 1533-position model. The record is from RNAcentral.
UACGUAGGGACCAAGCGUUGUUCGGAUUUACUGGACGUAAAGGGCGCGUAGGCGGCGUGACAAGUCACUUGUGAAAUCUCUGAGCUUAACUCAGAACGGCCAAGUGAAACUGUUGUGCUAGAGUGCAGAAGGGGCAAUCGGAAUUCUUGGUGUAGCGGUGAAAUGCGUAGAUAUCAAGAGGAACACCUGAGGUGAAGACGGGUUGCUGGGCUGACACUGACGCUGAGGCGCGAAAGCCAGGGGAGCAAACGGG